GAUAUAUUCUCAAUUAUCGUAAUGAAAUGCUAGGACAAGGGCUGACCAGUGAUGUAGACAUCAGUAUCUUUGUUGCACAUCUUUUUGUUCAGAUUAUUUUACGCAUCCUACCUUAGUGUACUUGUUCUGUCAGACUUCGCUAGAGUUCUACAUCAGAUUAGGAAUAAAUGAAACAUUUACAGACUUAUGAUCAUGUUGUUCAAAUCUUAGAAGUUGGAUGGUAGGGGUCACUUUAAACGUAAAGAUUUCUGUUUCGGUAAUAUUUCGAUGUGAAUAUCCUUAAAUGGAAUGACACAUGUAUUCUAUUUUACAAUAUGUAACCAUUAAAAUGGUGUUACACGGAGGUAUGAUUAAAAAUAUAUUGGGAUACUUAAAAGGGGACACGUAAAAUUGUAAGAUAACAAAACCUUUAAAACCUGAACGUGAAUACGCAUUUUCCGAGAUAUCAGCUUUUGGAGAUAGAGGUGCAUUCAAUAUUUUAAUGAAAGCAUGAGUGGGUACAAGGUUUAGAAGAGUUGUGUAAAUCACAAUUAAAGUUACUCCUUUAAAAGCGUGUAUUGUGUUUGCAGUAGCUGGUGGUGUACAUUAACUGGCAUUACAAAGGCGAAAAUUCUGAAAUUUUAGGGCUAAUAAUAGCCGUGUUUCGAGUUACUCCGGAACACCCGGGAUUUUUCGUAUUUAGCCACGCCGGUCACGUGAUAUGAGCAAAAUGUUCCACAGGGGUACUUCCGGUUAAUUUUGUUUACACUGGUAACAAAAUUGUUUUUGACAAAAUAUAGAUUUUGCGGCACAAACUGUCGCAAAUCAGAUAAAGGAUAGCAAGGGAUAUAUAUUUACUUGGGAAGAUGUCAAAGUUUACCUUUUCCCAAACCCGGGAUAAGCGUUCACGCAGAGGAAACGAUGGUGUCAUUUGUGUAGAAAACCACGAGCAGCCGAAAUUGAGUGCGAUUAUUACAUUCCGUGAAAGCUGAACCAACAAAGAAACAUCAUUGUUCUAGCCAGUUUGCUUAUAUUAACUUUUAGGAAAACCAAGAGGUUGAUAACAAUGGCUGAUCUGCAUAUAAUGACUGCUAGUUAUUGGCUGGUAUGCAGUGAAAGGGAGCUAAAAAGGAGUAAAAAGUUCAUAUCAGCCAGGUGAGAAUUAAUUUCUUCUUUUUUGUGUGUUAUACAUAUGUAAUUCUUUUCUAUUGCUGCUUCAAAUCUUGUGUAUUUGAAAAUUUUCAGUCUAAUAUUUGGCAAUGUUAUAGGUAGUGUGGUUUAAAUAAACCAGUGUUAAGGAAUAUCCAGUAAUGACAUGACGUCAUGAGAGUUUGGUAUACCGACAUUCAGAUGAUUAAUGAUGAAACUGAAGACCUCAAGUGAAAGGCAUGGAAAAUUAUCCUGUUCCCAUUAACCUGAAAAAGAGGAGGGAUGCCACAAUAUUGAUAAUAGACUUUUGUCAAUUUGAGAAGCAAAGAUGUAAAAAAUAAAAUAAAAUAAAUAAAUAAUGCUGAAAUUAUAAUUCAUGUAUUUGUUAAAAAUACUGUUCACUGUACAUACAUGUAUAUUUUUUUAACUUAUUUGGAAAUACAUGAAGUAAUUCAUAUUAAAACUGAAUGUAUGAGUUUUCAUGAUUUUUAUCAAUAAAGCUUACCAUAUUUAU
Long non-coding RNA from Ostrea edulis (European flat oyster), 1642 nucleotides. RefSeq lists it as uncharacterized. The record is from RefSeq and is a predicted model, not a curated record. Lineage: Eukaryota; Metazoa; Mollusca; Bivalvia; Ostreida; Ostreidae. The transcript is spliced from 2 exons.